This 2289-nucleotide long non-coding RNA is filed under the name Sus scrofa (pig). RNAcentral describes it as "lncRNA (ENSSSCG00005029046.1)". Lineage: Eukaryota; Metazoa; Chordata; Mammalia; Artiodactyla; Suidae. The record is from RNAcentral.
UUUUUUUUUUUUUUUUUUUUUUUUGUCUUUUCUAGGGCCGAACCCUCAGCAUAUGGAGGUUCCCAGGUUAGGGGUCUAAUUGGAGCUGUAGCUGCCGGCCUACAACAGGGCCACAGCAACGUGGGAUCCGAGCCAUAUCUUCGACCUACACCACAACUCACGGCAACGCCGGAUCCUAAACCCACUGAUCGAGGCCAGGGAUCAAACCCACAACUUCAAGGUUCCUAGUCAGAUUCGUUAACCACUGUACCAUGAGGGGAACUCCCUCAAACACUCUUAAAAUGAGAAGAAACUAUAUAGAAACCCCCCCAAAAGCAUAUUAUAAAGUGUCAUAAAUCAGUUUCUAAUACCACCCACAACUUUUCGUGGACUUUAUUCUCUCUCUUUAUAGGCAAAAGGCUCAGCUUCACUCCAUUUUCUUGUAUGUAUUUAUGGACCAGUACUGAACCAAAGUUGGUGCUCUCCUGGGCCUUUGUAUACAUCAUGAAAACAGAGCAUUCUUUUCCUCAUCUUUUAUACCUACUUAUCUGCUGUAUUAGUUUCCUGUGGUUGCUGUAACGAUUGACCACAAACUGGGUGGCUUAAAACAUUGGAAGUGUAUUCUUUUAUAGUUGCAGAAGCUUAAAGUCUGAAAUCAGUAUCAUUGAGCUGGAAUCUACUCUUGUGAGGCUCUGGGGCAGUUUCCACUCAGAUGAACCCUCUUGUAUGCCUAACCUAUAAACAUGGUGAGAUCAGAAAUGUCUGUGGUUGGAAGUUCCCUUUGUGGCCCAGCAAUUAAUGAUCCUCACUAGGAUCCAUGAAGAUGUGGAUCCUUAACCCACUGAACAAGGCCAGGGAUCGAACCCGAGUCCUCAUCGAUGCUAGUCAGGUCCAUUAACUGCUGAGCCACAACAGGAACUCCGAUGUGUUUUGAUAGAACAAAAAAAAAAAAUUCAAAUAAGAUGACAGUAGGAGUGUGUAAACACAAAUGCCUCUGGAAUGACUUAGGCAUCGAUCUUAGUAUUUUCUUCCAGUAGCAUUCUCUUCUCAGAUGUGGAAGGAUCCUGCAUUUUUAGAAUCUACUGCCAGAGUUCCCAACACGCUGGUCAGUCUCAAGACUCAAGCAUGACUCAGGGAGGGCUUUGAAAGAAAUGCCUAGUAACUAGAUUAGAAAAUAACUAGGUUUAGGAGUUCCUGCUUAUGCUGUCUGUGGCACUGGGAUACAGUUUCUACACCCUGCACAGUGGGUUAAAGAUCCAUCAUUGCGGCGACUUUGGCUGGGAUUUGAACCCUGGUCCUGGAACUCCAUAUGCCAUGAGGUGGCCAAAAAAUAAAAUAGGUUUAAAGGAAUUCCCUGGUGACCUACCAGUUUGGGACUAGACGUUGUCGCUGUUGUGGCUCAGGUUUGAUUCCUUGCCUAGGAACUGCAUACCAUCAGCAUGGCCAAAAAAAAAAAAAGUUUAAUAAACAAUUAGGAAGCUUUCUUUAAAAUUCUGAAGCACUAUUGGGAGUUCCCGUCGUGGCUUAGCAGUUAACAAACCUGACUGAUUAGUAUCCUGACUAGUAUCUAGGGACUCGGGUUCAAUCCCUGGCGUUGCUCAGUGGGUUAGGGAUCUGGCUUUGCUGUGGGCUGUGGUGUAGUUUGCAGGCUCAGCUCUGAUUCCGCGUUGCUGUGGCUGUGGUGUAGGCUGGCAGCUACAGCUCCAAUUCGACCUCUAGCCUGGGAACCUCCAUAUGGCACGGGUGUGGUCCUAAAGAGACAAAAAUAAAUAAAUAAAUAAAAUUAUCAAGCAUGCUGUGGCACAGUGAGUUAAGGAUCUGACUGCAGUGGCUCAGGUCACUGCAGAGGCAUGGUUUCAAUCCCUGGCCUGGGAAUGUCUAUAUGCCACGGGCAUGGCCAAAAAAAAAUUAUGAAGCAUCAUUAAAAUUAAAAAAAUUUUUUUUGGCAGUGCCCAUGGCAUGUGAAAGUUCCCAGACUAAAGAAUGAACUCAAACCACUGCAGUGACAAUGCUGGAUCCUUAACCCACUCUGCCACAAGAUAAUUCCCAAAAUUAAUGCAUUUAAAGCAUUCUUUUUAGGAGUGCCCAUUGUGGUUCUUUGGCAACGAACCCAGCUGGUAUCCAUGAGGACUCAGGUUAAAUCCCUGGCCUUGCUCAGUGGGUUAAAGAAUUGGCAUUGCUGUGAGCUGUGGUGUAAGUCACUGAUGCACCUCGGAUCUUAAGUUGCUAUGGCUGUGGCCAGCAACUACAGCUCCAAUUUGCCCACUAGCCUGGGAACUUCCAUAUGCUGCACCUGCAGCCCUAAACAAA